RNAcentral lists this transfer RNA (72 nucleotides) under Camelus dromedarius (Arabian camel). It matches the Rfam family "tRNA". Rfam says of the family: Transfer RNA (tRNA) molecules are approximately 80 nucleotides in length. RNAcentral also lists the same sequence under 1 other name. The record is from Rfam by way of RNAcentral. Lineage: Eukaryota; Metazoa; Chordata; Mammalia; Artiodactyla; Camelidae.
GGCAGUAUAGCUCAGUGGUAGAGCAGGUGCUUAGCAUGCAUGAGGCCCUGGGUUCAAUCCCUGGUACCUCCA